Tympanuchus pallidicinctus (lesser prairie-chicken) is the source of this 1102-nucleotide long non-coding RNA. RefSeq lists it as uncharacterized. The record is from RefSeq and is a predicted model, not a curated record. The transcript has 3 exons. Lineage: Eukaryota; Metazoa; Chordata; Aves; Galliformes; Phasianidae.
CGUCCAGUGGUCAUUGGGAUCAGCCACUGGCUUGUGGGAUCAUCCAUUGUUUAAUGGGAUCAUCCAGUGAUUAAUGGGAUCAGUCACUGCUUUAUGGGAUCGUCCAGUGGUCAUUGGGAUCAGCUGUUGGUUUGUGGGAUCGUCCAGUGGUCAUUGGGAUCAGCUGUUGGUUUAUGGGAUCAUCCAGUGGUCAUUGGGGUCAGCUGUUGGUUUAUGGGAUCGUCCAGUGGUUAAUGGGAUCAGCCAUUGUUUAAUGGGAUUGUGCAGUGGAUAAUGGGAUCAGCUGUUGGUUUAUGGGAUCGUCCGGUGCUCGUUGGGAUCCGCCAUUGGCUUAUGGGAUCGUCCAAUGGUUAAUGGGAUCGCCCAGUGGUCAUUGGGGUCAGCUGUUGGUUUAUGGGAUCGGCCGCUGGUUUAUGGGGUCGCCUGGUGGUCUUUGGGAUCAGCUGCCGUUCUUGGGGUCCCCCGUUGGUCUUUGGGGUCGUCCAUCAGACUUUGGGGUUCAGCCAUCAUUGGGAUCCCCCAUUAAUCACUGGGAUCCGCCAUCAAUUAAUGGGAACCCCAUUAAUCAUCGGGAUCAUUCAUCGUUCUUUGGGGUCGCUCUUAAUGAGAUCCCCCAUUAAUCACUGGGAUCAGCCAUCAAUUAUUGGGAUCCCCCCUUAAUCAUUGGGAUCAUCUGUCGUUCUUUGGGAUCAGCUACCAAUUAAUGGGAUCCCCUAUUAAUCACCGGGAUCGUCCAUCGCUCCUUGGGGUCGCUCAUCAAUAGGAUCCCCCAUUAGUCACUGGGAUCCGCCAUCAAUUAAUGGGAUCCCCUAUUAAUCACUGGGAUCAUCCAUCGUUCUUUGGGGUCGCUCAUCAAUGGGAUCCCCCAUUAAUCAUUGGGAUCAUCCGCCGUUCUUUGGGAUCAGCCAUCAAUUAAUGGGGUCCCCCGUUAAUCACUGGGAUCAUUCGUUCUUUGGGAUCGGCCAUCAGUGGGAUCCCCUAUUAAUCAUUGGGAUUGGCCAUCAAUUAAUGGGAUCCCCCAUUAAUCAUUGGGAUCAUCCGUUGUCCUUUGGGGUCAGCCAUCAUUGGGAUCCCCCGUUAAUCAUUGGGAUCAGCCGCCGUC